UCUUACCUCGUACCUUUUGCAUCAUGAUUUAGCCAGUGCAACCCAAGCAAAGAGCACUUUAGUUUGACAACCCGAAACUUUGUGAGCUACUCCAAGGCAACCUAAUCAAUAGGGCCAACCCGUCUCUGUAGCAAAAGAGUGGGGAGACCUUCGAGUAGAGGUGAUAAACCUACCGAACUUAGUAAUAGCUGGUUGCCCAUUAACUGGAUAGAAGUUCAGCCUCCCGGCUUCUUCCUUCUUACAAAUUUUUACAUCUACAGAUAUCACAAGAAACCGAGAGAGUUAGUCGAAGGGGGUACAGCCCCUUAGAAAUAAGAUACAACUUUUUAAGGAGGAUAAAGAUCAUAAUUAAACAAGGCAAAACAUCAGGGUGGGCUUGAAAGCAGCCAUCCCAUCAAAAAGCGUUAAAGCUCAGACACUCUAUUUUAAAGCCCCAAGUCUCGACCACCACCUCUUACUCCCCUUAUCCUACUGGGCCAUCCCAUGUCUACAUGGGAGCGAUUCUGCUAAAAUCAGUAUAUAAGAGAGCCUAACGGCUCUCUCCCUGCAUACAUG
RNAcentral lists this ribosomal RNA (555 nucleotides) under Epinephelus bleekeri (duskytail grouper). Its description in RNAcentral is "partial 16S ribosomal RNA". It matches the Rfam family "Bacterial large subunit ribosomal RNA", at positions 592 to 1347 of the family's 2925-position model. The record is from RNAcentral. Lineage: Eukaryota; Metazoa; Chordata; Actinopteri; Perciformes; Serranidae.